UCUUUUCUUUUUUGAACGUUGGUGAUGAUUUUUGUCGUGUCCUUCCAGCCUCGGUGGCUUCGGUGGGACAUAAUUCUGUCUUUUAUUGCAGUUGGAGCUGAGGCCAUAGCAGCAGCAUAUGAGCAGACUUCUCCAUAUAAGAUGAAAGCUGCAAAAUAUGCAGUGAUUAUGGCUAUUGUUUCUGUCCUUCUAAGCUUUACGGAUCUUGCUUACAAGAAGUGUAUGCUCCUACGAGACAAAAAUAGAAGGCCAGAUGAUAAGUAUCAGUACCAUUACAAGUUACAGUGGGAGUUUGCAGAUUCUUU
This 305-nucleotide unclassified non-coding RNA is filed under the name Hevea brasiliensis (rubber tree). The record is from RNAcentral. Lineage: Eukaryota; Viridiplantae; Streptophyta; Magnoliopsida; Malpighiales; Euphorbiaceae.